AACAUAUACUCCUACAUCAGCAAACAAGAGACGCUUACAUACAGAUACACACACCCAAGUACACAUCUACGAAUAUAACCCCCCCAAUGUGUCUUCUUCCUCAGUCCCUCGACCAACAGUACACUAGCCGUUAGGCUACUGCAAAUUCGUCCUUGCUCUCUUGAUUUUCGACACGUCAAGCUCUGAGAAGGCUUCCUUUGAAUAUCUGCCAUCCACCUCAUCUCCUUUCAUCCGAAUUUGUUGAGGAUUUGAGGGAAAUUGGAAUGAUUCGAGCAUAUUCCUUAUCCUAUUUGGGAUUUGAAAUUCGAAUUUCAUUCUUAUCCGAAAAUCCCACCCCCCCUUUUUUCAGCGAAUUGAAACAGCAAUCCCUUUCCUAUAAGACCCGCCUUCUCCAACCAUUCCAGGGGUUCGAGAGUUGGAUUUUUAGGUCACUGAAUAUAGAGAAUAUCGGGAGUUUCUAGACAAACAAAAAGAAAUCGAAAACUUUGGUGAAAGGAAAACACACUCUCUAAACUACGAAGUUCAUAGUUUCUUGGAUUUCAUCUCGAAAUUUUCAUCCGAAGGCUUCUCCGGCGAAGUUCCGUCGUGUCGGAGAGCUCAUUGUGACCAGCUCGUCAAGUUCCAGACUCGGUGCUCUGAAAAAGGUAGUACACAAAACGUUCCGGCAAGGAGAGAAGUUAGGACUCAAGAGUGUUCAUUAAGUCUUCCGGUACCAACUAAAGCUUCUGUUUUCAGGGACCGGUGCUCCUCCUCAUUAUCCUCAACGUGGCUAGUUGAGUUUUCGUUUGAAGGCUACUUUUGGGACCAGUGCUUCUCUUCGUUCUCCUCCAUGUGGCUACUUGAGAUUUCUUUUGAAGGUUACUUUUGAGGAUGAUGUUCGAAGGGUGUCCAAGGGAUCAUCCGAGUUCGUCAAGCAAAGAACAAGUAAUGGUAUCUCUGAAUGCUCAACAAAUCAUGGGUUGUAGUGGACAUAUUGAGUUCGAAAGCGGUAUCCAUUAUCUUAUUUUAUUUUUGCUUUCUAUACUUUCUUAUUUACUCAUCAAUCUUAAAAAGGGAUUAUUUAUGUCUAUCCAUGUAGGGAUACUCAUUUAUUAGAUGAACGAUUGUUUAAUAGUUUUGACUUAAGCCACUAGUUAAAGCGGUACUGUAUCUACUAAUUAUUUAUUUUGAGUAUGCAGACCUACAUAUAGUGUGCCGAUAUGAAAACUUUUGAAGUAAGAAUGACUUCAAAACAUCGAGACAAUAACCUAUCCACACAAAAUGCGAGAAGAUGCCAAAAAAGUAUCGUAAGGGAUGCUAGCGCUUUCUUUCAGAUAUGCUCCAACUAAUUAGUUUUAUUUUAGUCUUUGUCGAGAAUAUCCAAGAGGAUGCAUUCUCAAUCGAACCACAAGUGCAGACGACAUCAAAAAGGAUGCAGCACGACAUGGAAAUAUUUAUUAGCAGCGAUCUAAGGCAUAGUCCGAAGAGGAAUAUCAAACUCAUAAGAUGUGAGCUAAGGAACGAAUUUCACCACAAUCAAACCAUACCCCUAUCAAAAGGCAUGUGGUUAUUUCUUUGGUUUUAUCAAUUUCUUUUUCGCAUCCGACAAAUUUUAACUGUCAUUGGAAGCAACUUUUCAAUCCGAGUGAUAAUGCACUAAGAUCUGUGGAAAUAUGUCCGUGAAAAUACUUAAUUAUGAGUGUGAAGUGCACCACAUUCAUGGCUAAAAGGUUACAAACCUUUUUUUCAUAUU
This is a long non-coding RNA of Solanum dulcamara, 1732 nucleotides long. RefSeq lists it as uncharacterized. The transcript has 5 exons. Lineage: Eukaryota; Viridiplantae; Streptophyta; Magnoliopsida; Solanales; Solanaceae. The record is from RefSeq and is a predicted model, not a curated record.